CGUGUAAAACGGUCUAAGGUUACCUUGUACUAUCUCCAGCUGCUCUGACUCCGGUAACGGCACGCUGAGCCUAGAAAAAUAAUUCCGCAUUGUGCUUAAGUACUUUAUGAUGGAUUCAUCAGCACCUUGUGUCCGCGACCGCACCUCCUGUAAUAAACGCCGAUUAUAAUCGAAUGGCAGGAACUCCUCAUACAAACGAGCCUUAACCUCUUUCCAACUCGAGACCUCCUCCUUGACACCCCGAAACCAAAACAAGGCGUCACCGCUAAAAAUUUCUGCGACGGAAUUAAAUAACGUCUCCUCAGAGAUACCUCGAGAAUUGCAAAGCUCCUCCAGUCGCUGCACGAAUGCUUGCACACUAUCACUGCCGUUAAAGACGAGGUUCAGUUUUUGGAUCUGUGUGUGGUCCACCUUAGGACAUGGCUCUAUACACCCUACGACAGGGAUAUCCUGUUUCUUUUCCUGCUCCUGAUAAGCUUUAGAAAUGUACCUCAGUUCGCUGUCCCUAGAUUCGAGUUGUAAGAGCAAGUCCCCGAGCAUACAAGUCUCCUCCUUACUGACGGCAUUUAUACGACCUAAGCGGUGAUAUAAAUGGUUAGCCAAUGAUUCGCAACGCUUGAUGUGUUUUAACUGCAAAUUUGGUUUUGAAAGUGAGCUCUGCAAGUCUUUAAUUUUGUUUUUAACUUUUUCUAACUCUGAGGUAACAUCUCCCUCAAAGUAAAUAACCUCGUCCGAAGGCACCCGCGUAGCUAAUUCUGUUAAUUGUAAUCUUAAUUGGUCCGCAGUGGCCUCAGGUUUGACACCUCGGACUGUGGCCUCGUAUGUCAAUUCAUCUUUUAAUAAAAGGUUGAAACAUAUCGGACGUUCCCCCAUGAUGUUACAAAAAUAUGGAUCUAAUCCCUAAGGUAGCACACGUUCAAAUCAAUUUGUGACCCCAGGCCGUAUCAACGUUCAAUGUAAAGGUCGAACAAUAAACACCAAUAUAAAAAUAAAUGCUUUCCCAUUAAAGUGUGUUUCAGUAAGUCUAAGUACAAUAUUAAACUUAAGUAAAGUUAAGUUAUAACUGACAGUUAAAUGAUGUGUAAAACAAUAUAUUAACUCAUAAAAGGUUGACCUUGUAAAAAAAUUUGGUUAUUUUUACAAAAAAUUGAUAAAACAAAACUGUAAUUAUUAAAAGUUGAGUGUUUAAGUUAAACAGACAAUAACAAUGUCUCAGCAAAAUUGUUUAAAAACAAUCACCAACUGUUCAAUAUUUAAUUGUUCAAUAAUUAACUAAAUAAAAUUCCAGCAGAAGGUUUUCCUUUGAAUAACGUUUGGAAUAAGAGGUUAUACAAAUUUAACGCAAUCUCAACAAAAAAAAAUAAGGCAUGUUCAGUCAAUAAAAUAAAAUGUCUGAAAUAAGAGGUUAAAAUUUUUAACACAAUAUUCACACAAAAAAAAUACAGCCUUAUUAAGUUAAUAAAUUAAAAAAAAAAAACCUUCUGCAGUGAUUCUCUGUCAGCACGUCACGAUGACACACGCAAAACACACACAAGAAAUUAUAAGACUAAUUAAUUUCUAAUUACCCCCCCCGGGUGGACUCAGGCCUGUCUAAGCGAUAGAUUAGACUAUAAGCUAACGGAUUAAACUCUGCUCGGGCGCCAAAUGUAAGCCUAUUUUCCACUGUGUAGUGGGUAGUGAAAUUACAAUGAGGUGGAAAAUAAAAAUAUCAGAAUGUGGUACAGUUAUUAAUAUUUAUUUAUCAAAACCCUGCCUCACACAAUAUUUUAUAACUCAAAUAGGUCUAAAAUGAGACCAGGGAUUAAGUCCUUAUAAUUGUCUGGUUGAAGUAUACAAGGUAUGGCAAGGAAAUUACAUUAAAGUGAGGAAACCAAAGGUUCUACCCCUGUGUUUCACGCCACAGGGAUAGAAAGAUGGUAUUAACCCCCAGAGAAACUUCUAUAUUACUUCAAUGGGAUAGCAGUUUAACGUUAAGGCCCCGUAACCGAAGGACGUUGAUAGCCUAGCGCCUACAAAAGGUUCAAAGUGCAAUUUAGAUACUACUGCCCGUUCUAACGGGGCUCCCUACGAAGUAAAAAAAAUAAAAUAAAGGUUUUAACCCGCUAGAGUCCACCCGGGUUCUGCCUUUGCAAUCCUACAUUCAGCAGCGGCGUUAGAAGGCUGAUGCCGCUGAAGAUUAAUAGAAAUCCUAAGGAAAUUCCUCAGUAUCCGCUCAACGAACAUACAACGGCCAACCUGGACUGUCGGACGGGGCCAGGACAGGAGCUCCGGACGGCUCGUGGCUCGCUGACGGCUCUGGUCACCAACGACACCUUCUGGAAUCGCGAGAAACAGCCUUGGGUCAAGGAUGGGUCGGUAAGGACAGCGAAGGCCUAGCUAACAUGUCUCAAGUGACGUGUCUUGAAUGGCCCCUGGGUAUUUCUAACCUAAAACCUACGGUCAAUCACUAAUCAAACGAUUAUGGGAAGGUUAGAUCUCGUCUCAAAGGCGGUAGCUUUGCUGUUUAAACGUGACACUUGCAAAAUAACCUAAUCGACACGUGGAAGGUCAUGGCGCUUACCUUGGGGUUGGGUCAGGUGACACGCGUCUGGCAAUCGCACGCUCCACCGGGCAGGAUUGAAAUUGCUGUAAAAGAAAUACGCGGGGUUAGACGUUGCUACGUGUAGAAAUAAAGACAAGGCAGAUGGCUUUCGAAAUCCAAAGUCAUCGGAAAUCGAAUAACAACGAAAUGCUAGUUUACUCACUCGGCAAUUCAGGUUAGGUACACAUGGUGUGAUGCUGCGUGGGUGUCUGUGGCACGUAUCUGGUAACUGCAAAGAAACAACUUAGUCAGAAUCUAUCUCGUAGACCAAUCAGAUAACCUGAACCCACGAUCGAAAUACUCACCAGGAAAUAUGAAGCAAGGAACUUGGUACCAAUACGGCCUGCGCCACGCGGGCGGGAAGAAAAA
Plutella xylostella (diamondback moth) is the source of this 2950-nucleotide non-coding RNA. NCBI's taxonomy places the organism in Eukaryota, Metazoa, Arthropoda, Insecta, Lepidoptera, Plutellidae. The record is from RefSeq and is a predicted model, not a curated record.